Molecule: long non-coding RNA, 815 nt
Organism: Rattus rattus (black rat)
Lineage: Eukaryota; Metazoa; Chordata; Mammalia; Rodentia; Muridae
Exons: 3
Source: RefSeq, a predicted model, not a curated record
GUGACUUUGGAGAGCUAAGCUUUGGUGAGAACUUAAAACCUAAAACACUGUGACACUAUGCUUCUUUCAGAACAGAGCCUUCAAGAUCAAGAGGCUUAGGUGCUUGAAAAAAAUGGCUUUUGGAGGCCAGAAAGCAAGUGAACAAGGGAGAGAAGAUACUCAGGACAGAAGAUACUGCACCACGUUUGGAAGUCAUCCAGGGAUGAGACCCGUGUGUGGUAAGACAGAACAUCAUGGAGGAGAGAAGCUGCUGACUGUGGCAGAUAAGACCCAGAGAAAGACAAUGAAAAGGACAGUAACUGGAAUAAGGCAGAACUUUCCAACUGGAUUCCUUUGCUGGGAAAUGAAAAUACCUUCGUGUUGAAAUGGCAAUCCGUGGUGGUUUCUCUGCUGAAUGGGCCCUGACAGACCCACUUUCAGAACCUAUUCAGUUCUUAUUGAUCACCGUUUUCUGCCCGGCAUGAGCCAUCGGAGUACACCCAUCUCUGCAGAGCUACUGCAAGUAACAAAAGAGCUGAGUUUGGAGCAGGGAACUUGGUGUUCGAGUCUCAGUUCUACCAAGGACUGACCGUGUGACCUCAGGGACUUUAGAUCUUUGAGCCUUCACUUGCCUACUCCACAAAGAGGAAGGAGGGAUUCUAAUGGAUUUCUAAGUUCCCUUCCAUGUUCAAAAGUUCUUUAUCUCCUGUACUGGAAUAUAUAUGGAAAUUCCCUUCCAAUCGACUUUAGUAAAGCUCAUCUUUAAAGUCAUAAAGGAACUGUGAAAUAUUAAAAGUAGAGGGAUGGAGGAAGGCAGGCCCUGGCCCAGAUGAGUA